GGAUUAGUGGCGAACGGGUGAGUAACACGUGGGCAAUCUGCCCUUCACUCUGGGACAAGCCCUGGAAACGGGGUCUAAUACCGGAUAACACCUCCACUCUCCUGAGUGGAGGUUAAAAGCUCCGGCGGUGAAGGAUGAGCCCGCGGCCUAUCAGCUUGUUGGUGAGGUAAUGGCUCACCAAGGCGACGACGGGUAGCCGGCCUGAGAGGGCGACCGGCCACACUGGGACUGAGACACGGCCCAGACUCCUACGGGAGGCAGCAGUGGGGAAUAUUGCACAAUGGGCGAAAGCCUGAUGCAGCGACGCCGCGUGAGGGAUGACGGCCUUCGGGUUGUAAACCUCUUUCAGCAGGGAAGAAGCGAAAGUGACGGUACCUGCAGAAGAAGCGCCGGCUAACUACGUGCCAGCAGCCGCGGUAAUACGUAGGGCGCGAGCGUUGUCCGGAAUUAUUGGGCGUAAAGAGCUCGUAGGCGGCUUGUCACGUCGGUUGUGAAAGCCCGGGGCUUAACCCCGGGUCUGCAGUCGAUACGGGCAGGCUAGAGUUCGGUAGGGGAGAUCGGAAUUCCUGGUGUAGCGGUGAAAUGCGCAGAUAUCAGGAGGAACACCGGUGGCGAAGGCGGAUCUCUGGGCCGAUACUGACGCUGAGGAG
Molecule: ribosomal RNA, 650 nt
Filed under: Streptomyces sp. HUST015
Lineage: Bacteria; Bacillati; Actinomycetota; Actinomycetes; Kitasatosporales; Streptomycetaceae
Description: bacterial SSU rRNA
Rfam family: Bacterial small subunit ribosomal RNA
Source: RNAcentral